GGGUUAAACCUGAUGAACCUAAAAUAUUCAAUAUAAAAAAUUCAACAUUAUAGAUAUUUAUUAAUUUUAAUAAAUAUUAAUAUUGUGCACUUUUUUUAUAUAUGAACAUUGUAAUCUGUUAAUUUAUAUAUAUAUAUAUAAUUUAUCAAAAGAUCCUAUAGUAAAAGUUUUAUUAUUUAAAUUAAUAAAAUUAAUUUUAUUAAUUAUAAUAAAAACUAUUUUAGGUAUCAGAUAAAUAAUUGACAGAUUGAAAAAAUAUAAACGUUUUAACAAUUUUUAAUUGUUUAUAAAAAUAAUAAUAAAUUUAUUUAUUAUUAUUAUUUAUAUACGUUUAUAUGAUUAACAAUGCAAUUAAGAUUUAGGAUACCUUCAGG
This 374-nucleotide ribosomal RNA is filed under the name Ogcodes sp. LRC-2002. RNAcentral's name for it is "partial 28S ribosomal RNA". Lineage: Eukaryota; Metazoa; Arthropoda; Insecta; Diptera; Acroceridae. The record is from RNAcentral.